AUAUUUUUAAACUGAAGUACAGUUGAUUUAUAUUCCUAUAUUUGUUUUGGGUGUACAACAUAGUGAUUCGAUACUUUUAUGGAAUGUACUCUAGGUGAGGUUACUGCUGUGCUCUCCUUCCCGUCGACUCUCUCCUCCGAAGAGAGCAGAGAUGCCCCUCGUCUUCCAGCCCAGCUCUCCGUUGUUUCUCAACACCUCAGCGGGACAGAGCCUGCCAGAACCGAGAGCCUGCCUGGUCUGUGAAUUGGAGUGGAAUGUGAAUGA
Molecule: long non-coding RNA, 264 nt
Filed under: Capra hircus (goat)
Lineage: Eukaryota; Metazoa; Chordata; Mammalia; Artiodactyla; Bovidae
Description: lncRNA (ENSCHIG00000005392.1)
Source: RNAcentral